AACGAACGCUGGCGGCAUGCCUAACACAUGCGAGUCGAACGAGACCUUCGGGUCUAGUGGCGCACGGGUGCGUAACGCGUGGGAACCUGCCCUUAGGUUCGGAAUAACUCCCCGAAAGGGGUGCUAAUACCGGAUAAUGUCUUCGGACCAAAGAUUUAUCGCCUUUGGAUGGGCCCGCGUUGGAUUAGCUAGUUGGUAGGGUAAAAGCCUACCAAGGCGACGAUCCAUAGCUGGUCUGAGAGGAUGAUCAGCCACACUGGGACUGAGACACGGCCCAGACCCCUACGGGAGGCAGCAGUGGGGAAUAUUGCACAAUGGGCGAAAGCCUGAUCCAGCAAUGCCGCGUGAGUGAUGAAGGCCUUAGGGUUGUAAAGCUCUUUUACCCGGGAUGAUAAUGACAGUACCGGGAGAAUAAGCUCCGGCUAACUCCGUG
RNAcentral lists this ribosomal RNA (433 nucleotides) under uncultured bacterium. Its description in RNAcentral is "partial 16S ribosomal RNA". It matches the Rfam family "Bacterial small subunit ribosomal RNA", at positions 29 to 507 of the family's 1533-position model. The record is from RNAcentral.